This 460-nucleotide ribosomal RNA is filed under the name uncultured bacterium. Its description in RNAcentral is "partial 16S ribosomal RNA". It matches the Rfam family "Bacterial small subunit ribosomal RNA", at positions 338 to 795 of the family's 1533-position model. The record is from RNAcentral.
CCUACGUGCGGCAGCAGUGAGGAAUAUUGGUCAAUGGGCGCGAGCCUGAACCAGCCAAGUAGCGUGAAGGAUGACUGCCCUACGGGUUGUAAACUUCUUUUAUAAAGGAAUAAAGUGAGGCACGUGUGCCUUUUUGUAUGUACUUUAUGAAUAAGGAUCGGCUAACUCCGUGCCAGCAGCCGCGGUAAUACGGAGGAUCCGAGCGUUAUCCGGAUUUAUUGGGUUUAAAGGGAGCGUAGAUGGGUUGGUAAGUCAGUUGUGAAAGUUUGCGGCUCAACCGUAAAAUUGCAAUUGAUACUGGCAGUCUUGAGUACAGUUGAGGUAGGCGGAAUUCGUGGUGUAGCGGUGAAAUGCUUAGAUAUCACGAAGAACUCCGAUUGCGAAGGCAGCUUACUAAACUGCCACUGACAUUGAUGCUCGAAAGUGUGGGUAUCAAACAGGAUUAGAUACCCUAGUAGUC